This 490-nucleotide ribosomal RNA is filed under the name uncultured bacterium. RNAcentral describes it as "partial 16S ribosomal RNA". It matches the Rfam family "Bacterial small subunit ribosomal RNA", at positions 30 to 507 of the family's 1533-position model. The record is from RNAcentral.
AUUGAACGCUGGCGGCAGGCCUAACACAUGCAAGUCGAACGGUAACAGGAAACGGCUUGCUGCUUUGCUGACGCGUGGCGGACGGGUGAGUAAUGUCUGGGAAACUGCACGAUGGAGGGGGAUAACUACUGGAAACGGUAGCUAAUACCGCAUAACGUCGCAAGACCAAAGAGGGGGACCUUAGGGCCUCUUGCCAUCGGAUGUGCCCAGAUGGGAUUAGCUAGUAGGUGGGGUAACGGCUCACCUAGGCGACGAUCCCUAGCUGGUCUGAGAGGAUGACCAGCCACACUGGAACUGAGACACGGUCCAGACUCCUACGGGAGGCAGCAGUGGGGAAUAUUGGACAAUGGGCGCAAGCCUGAUGCAGCCAUGCCGCGUGUAUGAAGAAGGCCUUCGGGUUGUAAAGUACUUUCAGCGGGGAGGAAGGGAGGAAAGUUAAUACCCUUGCUCAUUGACGGUACCCGAAGAAGAAGCACCGGCUAACUCCGUG